Molecule: ribosomal RNA, 541 nt
Filed under: bacterium XN-80-16
Lineage: Bacteria
Description: bacterial SSU rRNA
Rfam family: Bacterial small subunit ribosomal RNA
Source: RNAcentral
AAUGCCUAGGAAUCUGCCUGGUAGUGGGGGAUAACGUCCGGAAACGGGCGCUAAUACCGCAUACGUCCUGAGGGAGAAAGUGGGGGAUCUUCGGACCUCACGCUAUCAGAUGAGCCUAGGUCGGAUUAGCUAGUUGGUGGGGUAAAGGCCUACCAAGGCGACGAUCCGUAACUGGUCUGAGAGGAUGAUCAGUCACACUGGAACUGAGACACGGUCCAGACUCCUACGGGAGGCAGCAGUGGGGAAUAUUGGACAAUGGGCGAAAGCCUGAUCCAGCCAUGCCGCGUGUGUGAAGAAGGUCUUCGGAUUGUAAAGCACUUUAAGUUGGGAGGAAGGGCAGUAAGUUAAUACCUUGCUGUUUUGACGUUACCAACAGAAUAAGCACCGGCUAACUUCGUGCCAGCAGCCGCGGUAAUACGAAGGGUGCAAGCGUUAAUCGGAAUUACUGGGCGUAAAGCGCGCGUAGGUGGUUCAGCAAGUUGGAUGUGAAAUCCCCGGGCUCAACCUGGGAACUGCAUCCAAAACUACUGAGCUAGAGUAC